RNAcentral lists this ribosomal RNA (497 nucleotides) under uncultured bacterium. RNAcentral's name for it is "partial 16S ribosomal RNA". It matches the Rfam family "Bacterial small subunit ribosomal RNA", at positions 28 to 507 of the family's 1533-position model. The record is from RNAcentral.
GACGAACGCUGGCGGCGUGCCUAAUACAUGCAAGUUGAGCGCUGAAGGUUGGUACUUGUACCGACUGGAUGAGCAGCGAACGGGUGAGUAACGCGUGGGGAAUCUGCCUUUGAGCGGGGGACAACAUUUGGAAACGAAUGCUAAUACCGCAUAAAAACUUUAAACACAAGUUUUAAGUUUGAAAGAUGCAAUUGCAUCGCUCAAAGAUGAUCCCGCGUUGUAUUAGCUAGUUGGUGAGGUAAAGGCUCACCAAGGCGAUGAUACAUAGCCGACCUGAGAGGGUGGUCGGCCACAUUGGGACUGAGACACGGCCCAAACUCCUACGGGAGGCAGCAGUAGGGAAUCUUCGGCAAUGGACGAAAGUCUGACCGAGCAACGCCGCGUGAGUGAAGAAGGUUUUCGGAUCGUAAAACUCUGUUGGUAGAGAAGAACGUUGGUGAGAGUGGAAAGCUCAUCAAGUGACGGUAACUACCCAGAAAGGGACGGCUAACUACGUG